CAGCACUGUCCGGUAAGAUGCC
Molecule: microRNA, 22 nt
Filed under: Equus caballus (horse)
Lineage: Eukaryota; Metazoa; Chordata; Mammalia; Perissodactyla; Equidae
Also listed under: 1 other name
Description: eca-miR-3548
Source: miRBase by way of RNAcentral